CCUACGGGUGGCAGCAGUGAGGAAUAUUGGUCAAUGGACGAGAGUCUGAACCAGCCAAGUAGCGUGAAGGAUGACUGCCCUAUGGGUUGUAAACUUCUUUUAUAUGGGAAUAAAAUGUUCCACGUGUGGGAUUUUGUAUGUACCAUAUGAAUAAGGAUCGGCUAGCUCCGUGCCAGCCGCCGCGGUAAUAAGGAGGAUCCGAGCGUUAUCCGGAUUUAUUGGGUUUAAGGGGAGCGUAGGUGGAUUGUUAAGUCAGUUGGGAAAGUUUGCGGCUGAACCGGAAAAUUGCAGUUGAAACUGGCAGUCUUGAGUACAGUAGAGGUGGGCGGAAUUCGUGGUGUAGCGGUGAAAUGCUUAGAUAUCACGAAGAACUCCGAUUGCGAAGGCAGUUCACUGGACUGCAACUGACACUGAGGCUCGAAAGUGUGGGUAUCAAACAGGAUUAGAUACCCUGGUAGUC
This 460-nucleotide ribosomal RNA is filed under the name uncultured bacterium. RNAcentral's name for it is "partial 16S ribosomal RNA". It matches the Rfam family "Bacterial small subunit ribosomal RNA", at positions 338 to 795 of the family's 1533-position model. The record is from RNAcentral.